AUGCUUGUUUCAGCAGUACAUAUACUAAAAUUGUAAUGACACAGAGACAAUUAGCAUGGCCCCUGUGCAAGGAUGACACAAAAAAGAAAAAAAUAAAACACUUUGCU
Molecule: small nuclear RNA, 107 nt
Filed under: Piliocolobus tephrosceles (Ugandan red Colobus)
Lineage: Eukaryota; Metazoa; Chordata; Mammalia; Primates; Cercopithecidae
Source: RNAcentral